Molecule: ribosomal RNA, 459 nt
Filed under: uncultured bacterium
Lineage: Bacteria
Description: partial 16S ribosomal RNA
Rfam family: Bacterial small subunit ribosomal RNA
Source: RNAcentral
CCUACGGGUGGCAGCAGUGAGGAAUAUUGGUCAAUGGGCGGAAGCCUGAACCAGCCAAGUAGCGUGCAGGAUGACGGCCCUACGGGUUGUAAACUGCUUUUAUACGGGAAUAACGCGCCUUACGUGUAGGGCUUUGCAUGUACCGUAUGAAUAAGGACCGGCUAAUUCCGUGCCAGCAGCCGCGGUAUACGGAAGGUCCGGGCGUUAUCCGGAUUUAUUGGGGUUAAAGGGAGCGUAGGCCGCAUGUCAAGCGUGCUGUGAAAUGUCCGGGCUCAACCCGGGCCUUGCAGCGCGAACUGGCGUGCUUGAGUCCGCGGAAAGCAGGCGGAAUUCGUCGUGUAGCGGUGAAAUGCUUAGAUAUGACGAAGAACCCCGAUUGCGAAGGCAGCUUGCUGCAGCGGAACUGACGCUGAUGCUCGAAAGCGCGGGUAUCGAACAGGAUUAGAUACCCCAGUAGUC